RNAcentral lists this ribosomal RNA (506 nucleotides) under uncultured bacterium. RNAcentral's name for it is "partial 16S ribosomal RNA". It matches the Rfam family "Bacterial small subunit ribosomal RNA", at positions 29 to 523 of the family's 1533-position model. The record is from RNAcentral.
AGUGAACGCUGGCGGUAGGCCUAACACGUGCAAGUCGAACGGCAGCACAGGAGAGCUUGCUCUCUGGGUGGCGAGUGGCGGACGGGUGAGGAAUACAUCGGAAUCCACUCUGUCGUGGGGGAUAACGUAGGGAAACUUACGCUAAUACCGCAUACGACCUACGGGUGAAAGCAGGGGAUCUUCGGGCCUUGCGCGAUUGAAUGAGCCGAUGUCGGAUUAGCUAGUUGGCGGGGUAAAGGCCCACCAAGGCGACGAUCCGUAGCUGGUCUGAGAGGAUGAUCAGCCAAACUGGAACUGAGACACGGUCCAGACUCCUACGGGAGGAAGCAGUGGGGAAUAUUGGACAAUGGGCGCAAGCCUGAUUCAGCCAUACCGCGUGGGUGAAGAAGGCCUUCGGGUUGUAAAGCCCUUUUGUUGGGAAAGAAAUCCAGCUGGCUAAUACCCGGUUGGGAUGACGGUACCCAAAGAAUAAGCACCGGCUAACUUCGUGCCAGCCGCCGCCGUAA